Molecule: long non-coding RNA, 342 nt
Organism: Cebus imitator (Panamanian white-faced capuchin)
Lineage: Eukaryota; Metazoa; Chordata; Mammalia; Primates; Cebidae
Exons: 3
Source: RefSeq, a predicted model, not a curated record
CGUCAUCCCUGGAAAGUAGCAAUUUCAUGAGUUUCUUCCUUGUGAUUACCUGAUCUAGCAAAGAUUAAGAAGAAAUGGCCUACAAGUCAGCAUGCUCAGGUAUGCCUGGUGAGACUCGCCCUUCAAUGCUGACUUGUUGAUCGGUGUAGAGAACAGAUAGAAGAACAAGGGAAAGGCAAAGAAGGAGAAAAAUACAGGAUUCAAAGACUGCUCUGCACACUGAAAAGUCAUAGAAAUGAAACUGCCAAUGUAACACAAAGCAAGCAAAGUACGUAAUUUGUUGAAAAGAAUCAUGCUGAAUCACCAGAAGAAAACUAUCUUAAGCAUAAUCAACUGAACAUU